GAGUGAACGCUGGCGGCGUGGCUUAACACAUGCGAAGUCGAACGGAGCACCUUGAGUUUGAGUUCUUACGGAUGAAGAUCUUGGUGACUGAGUGGCGGACGGGUGAGUAACGCGUGGGUAACCUGCCUCAUACAGGGGGAUAACAGUUAGAAAUGACUGCUAAUACCGCAUAAGACCACAGCACCGCAUGGUGCAGGGGUAAAAACUCCGGUGGUAUGAGAUGGACCCGCGUCUGAUUAGGUAGUUGGUGGGGUAACGGCCUACCAAGCCGACGAUCAGUAGCCGACCUGAGAGGGUGACCGGCCACAUUGGGACUGAGACACGGCCCAA
Molecule: ribosomal RNA, 330 nt
Filed under: uncultured bacterium
Lineage: Bacteria
Description: bacterial SSU rRNA
Rfam family: Bacterial small subunit ribosomal RNA
Source: RNAcentral